This 527-nucleotide RNase P RNA is filed under the name Phycisphaerae bacterium. RNAcentral's name for it is "RNase P RNA component class A". It matches the Rfam family "Bacterial RNase P class A". From Rfam's summary of the family: Ribonuclease P (RNase P) is a ubiquitous endoribonuclease, found in archaea, bacteria and eukarya as well as chloroplasts and mitochondria. The record is from RNAcentral. Lineage: Bacteria; Pseudomonadati; Planctomycetota; Phycisphaerae.
AGAGUGGGCCAGGCGGCCGCCGGAGCCGUCGGCACGCACAAUCCGUUGUGCAUGUCUUGGCGCCGGAGGAAAGUCCGAACUGCACAGGGCACGGUGAUGGCUAACGGCCACCGGGCGUGAGCCCAGGGAAAGUGCCACAGAAAAGACACCGCCGACGGAGGACGUGGCAAGGUGGGAAUGUGGGAAAGUGGGAAAGUAAGAGGUGACUCGCCUGAACAGCGACCUUCACACGUUCCCACGUUUCCACCUUCCCACGCCCUCCGGGUAAGGGUGAAAUGGUGCGGUAAGAGCGCACCGCGUCGCUGGUGACAGCGGCGGCACGGCAAACCCCACCGGCAGCAAGCCCAAAUAGGGGGCGAUGAGCCGGCCCGGCUCGUUAUCCAGCCCCGGGUAGGGCGCUUGAGCCCGUCGGCAACGGCGGGCCCAGAUGAAUGGCCGCCACCAGCGCAGGCAGGUUCGUACACGGCUCGCCCGUGUACCCCCGGCCGGCGCUGGCACAGAAUUCGGCUUACCGGCCCACUCUGCCG